RNAcentral lists this non-coding RNA (45 nucleotides) under Schistosoma margrebowiei. The record is from RNAcentral. Lineage: Eukaryota; Metazoa; Platyhelminthes; Trematoda; Strigeidida; Schistosomatidae.
ACCCGACUGGCGAGUCCCAAAUGGGACGAAACACGCGUCCUGGAU